RNAcentral lists this non-coding RNA (29 nucleotides) under Homo sapiens (human). Lineage: Eukaryota; Metazoa; Chordata; Mammalia; Primates; Hominidae. The record is from RNAcentral.
UCCCAGUUCAGGCAUUUCAAGUCCUCAUU